Molecule: long non-coding RNA, 3035 nt
Organism: Zonotrichia albicollis (white-throated sparrow)
Lineage: Eukaryota; Metazoa; Chordata; Aves; Passeriformes; Passerellidae
Source: Ensembl
UUGUCACCUGUGUGUGUCACUGUCACCUGUGUGUGUCACCAUGACCACCAAGGAGUGCCUGCACCGCUUCUGCUCCGACUGUAUCGUCACAGCCCUGAGGAGCGGGUCAGUGUCACUGUCAUUGUCACUGUCAUUGUCAUUGUCUCCUUUGUGUGUCACCUGUGUGUGUCACCAUGACCACCAAGGAGUGCCUGCACCGCUUCUGCUCCGACUGUAUCGUCACAGCCCUGUGCAGCGGGUAUGUGACACCUGUGUGUGUCAUUGUCAUUGUCACCUGUGUCACCUGUGUGUGUCACCUGUGUGUCAUUGUCAUUGUCACACCUGUGUGUGUCAUUGUCAUUGUCACCUGUGUGUGUGUCAUUGUCAUUGUCACCUGUGUGUCAUUGUCAUUGUCAUUGUCACUGUCACCUGUGUGUCAUUGUCACCUGUGUCACUGUCACCUGUCUGCGUCACCAUGACCACCAAGGAGUGCCUGCACCGCUUCUGCCCCGACUGUAUCGUCACAGCCCUCAGGAGCGGGUAUGUGACACUGUCACUGUCAUUGUCAUUGUCAUUGUCACCUGUGUGUGUGUCAUUGUCACCUGUGUGUAUCACCAUGACCACCAAGGAGUGCCUGCACCGCUUCUGCUCCGACUGUAUCGUCACAGCAUUGAGGAGCGGGUAUGGGACACUGUCACCUGUGUGUCAUUGUCACCAUUGUCAUUGUCACCAUUGUCAUUGUCAUUGUCACCUGUGUGUGUGUCACUGUCACCUGUGUGUGUGUCAUUGUCACCUUGUGUGUCACCAUGGCCACCAAGGAGUGCCUGCACCGCUUCUGCUCCGACUGUAUCGUCACAGCCCUGCGCAGCGGGUAUGUGACACUGUCAUUGUCAUUGUCAUUGUCAUUGUCAUUGUCACCUGUGUGUGUCACCAUGGCCACCAAGGAGUGCCUGCACCGCUUCUGCUCCGACUGUAUCGUCACCACCCUCAGGAGCGGGUAUGGGACACUGUCACCUGUGUGUGUCAUUGUCAUUGUCACCUGUGUCACUGUCACCUGUGUGUCACCUGUGUCAUGGUCACCUGUCACUGUCACCUGUGUGUCACCUGUCAGUGUCACCCCGGUGCCGGCACCGCUUCUGCUCCGACUGUAUCGUCACCGCGCUCAGGAGUGGGUACGGGACACUGUCAUUGUCACCUGUGUGUCAUUGUCAUUGUCAUCUGUGUCAUUGUCACCUGAGUGUCACCUGUGUCUGUCGUUGUCACCUGUCUGUCUCUGUCACCUGUGUGUCACCUGUGUCAUUGUCAAAAGGUGUCACCUGUGUCACUGCCACCUGUGUGUCACUGUCACCUGAUAUUGUCACCUGUGUCUGUCAUUGUUUGUCAUUGUCUGUCACCUGUGUCACCUGUGUGUCAUUGUCACCUCUGUCACCUGUGUCUGUCAUUGUCUGUCACCUGUGUGUGUCGCUUGUGUCACCUGUGUCACUGCCACCUGUGUGUCACUGUCACCUGUCUGAUAUUGUCACCUAUGUCUGUCAUUGUCUGUCAUUGUCUGUCACCUGUGUCACCUGUGUGUCAUUGUCACCUCUGUCAUCUGUGUCUGUCAUUGUCUGUCACUGUCACCUGUGUCACCUGUGUGUCACUGUCACCUCUGUCACCUGUGUCUCUCAUUGUCUGUCAUUGUCACCUGUGUCAUUGUCACCUGUGUCACCUGUGUCACCUAUUGUCACCUGUGUCACCUGUUUCUGUCAUUGUCACCUGUGUCAUUGUCACCUGUGUGUGUCAUUGUCUGUCACUGUCACCUGUGUGUCACUGUCACCUGUGUGUCAUUGUCACCUGUGUGUGUCACCUGUGUCAGUGUCAGCUGUGUGGGUCACUGUCACCUGUGUCAUCUGUGUCUCCUGUGUCAAUGUCACCUGUGUCACCUGUCUGUGUCACCUGUGUCACUGUCACCUGUGUGUCACUGUCACCGGUGUUUCAUUGUCACCUUUGUGUCAUUGUAACGUGUGUCACUGUCACCUGUCACUGUCACCCGUGUGUCACUGUCACCUGUCUGUGUCACCUGUGUUUCACGGUCACUUGUGUCACUGUCACCUGUGUGCAAUUGUCACCUGUGUCAGUGUCACCUGUAUGUGUCACCUGUGUGUCACUGUCACCUGUGUCACGGUCACCCGUGUGUCAUUGUCACCCGUGUGUCACUGUCACCUGUGUCACUGUCACCUGUGUGUCACUGUCACCUGUCUGUCACUGUCACCUGUGUCACUGUCACUGUCACCUGUGUGUCACCUGUGUCACUGUCACCUGUGUGUGUCACUGUCAUCUGUAUGUCAUUGUUACCUGUGUCACCUGUGUCACUGUCACCUGUGUGUGUCACCUGUGUGUGUCACUGCCUGUCACUGUCACCUGUCAUUGUCACCUGUGAGUGUCACCUGUGUCACUGUCACCUGUGUGUCAUUGUCACCUGUGUCACUGUCACCUGUAUGUCACUGUCACCUGUGUGUGUCACCUGUGUGUCACCUGUGUGUCACUGUCACCUGUGUGUCACUGUCACCUGCGUCACUGUCACCUGUGUGUCACCUGUGUGUCACUGUCACCUGUGUGUCACUGUCACCCGUGUGUCACUGUCACUGGUGUGUCACCCCUGUGUCAUUCCCAAUUCCCAUUCCCCCCCAUUUUUUCUCCUGAUUUUUCCUCAUUUUUUCUCCAUUUUUUUCUCAAAUUUUUCCCCAAUUUCCCCCCGGUUUUUCCGCCAUAUUUUCCCCAUUUCUCCUCGGAUUUUUUGCCCAUUUUUUUUCCCCAUUUUCCCAGCUUUUUCCCCGUUUUUCCCCGUUUUUCCCCAGGAACAAGGAGUGUCCCCCAUCCAGGAAGAACCUGGAGUCUCAUUUUCUCCCUUUUUUUUCCCCGUUUUUUUGCCAUUUUUUGCCGUUUUUCCGCCAUAUUUUCCCCAUUUCUCCUCGGAUUUUUUUCCCGUUUUUUUCCCCAUUUUUCACAUUUUUCCCCCCAUUUUUCCCCAGGAACAAGGAGUGCCCACGUGCAGGAAGAAGCCGGGAUCUCAUUUU